AUAAUACUCCCUCCGUCCCAAAAUUCUUGUCUUAUUGUUUAGAAAUUGAUGCAUCAAAAUACUAAAACGUGACUAGAUACAUUCAUAUCUAGACAAACCUAAGACAUGAAUUAUAGGACGGAGGGAGUAUAUU
Molecule: non-coding RNA, 133 nt
Organism: Hordeum vulgare subsp. vulgare (domesticated barley)
Lineage: Eukaryota; Viridiplantae; Streptophyta; Magnoliopsida; Poales; Poaceae
Source: Rfam